This is a long non-coding RNA of Zea mays, 141 nucleotides long. RefSeq lists it as uncharacterized. Lineage: Eukaryota; Viridiplantae; Streptophyta; Magnoliopsida; Poales; Poaceae. The record is from RefSeq and is a predicted model, not a curated record. The transcript is spliced from 2 exons.
AAAAAGCUGAAAUAAAUCGACAAAAGCUAAAGAUGCACCAUACAACCGGCAGUGUGAGCUAUGCAUGUUCAGAAUAUGAUUUGGCUGUGAAACUAGGACGUCCUCCACGAAGAGAUGAAAACUUUAUCCAAACCCAUACAA